RNAcentral lists this unclassified non-coding RNA (167 nucleotides) under uncultured fungus. RNAcentral describes it as "sequence contains ITS1". Lineage: Eukaryota; Fungi. The record is from RNAcentral.
UUAAUAGUUUAUGCUCAAUCAAGAGACAGUUACAUUCUUAUCUUAUAGUGUUUAAAAUGUGUAAAAACAGUUUGUGCACAGUGUGAAGGAAAUGAAUUGGGUCGGACCUCUAAAAAGAACGUCCUUGCAUUUCAUGAAUGAUCCUUCCGCAGGUUCACCUACGGAAA